AACGAACGCUGGCGGCAGGCCUAACACAUGCAAGUCGAACGCUCCGCAAGGGGAGUGGCGCACGGGUGAGUAACACGUGGGAACCUACCUUCUGGUACGGAACAACCAAGGGAAACUUUGGCUAAGACCGUAUACGACCUCCGGGUGAAAGAUUGAUCGCCGGAAGAGGGGCCCGCGUCCGAUUAGGUAGUUGGUGAGGUAACGGCUCACCAAGCCUUCGAUCGGUAGCUGGUCUGAGAGGAUGACCAGCCACAUUGGGACUGAGACACGGCCCAGACUCCUACGGGAGGCAGCAGUGGGGAAUCUUGCGCAAUGGGCGAAAGCCUGACGCAGCGACGCCGCGUGUGGGAUGACGGCC
This 358-nucleotide ribosomal RNA is filed under the name uncultured bacterium. RNAcentral's name for it is "bacterial SSU rRNA". It matches the Rfam family "Bacterial small subunit ribosomal RNA", at positions 29 to 416 of the family's 1533-position model. The record is from RNAcentral.